CCAAUAGCGUAUAUUAAAGUUGUUGCAGUUAAAAAGCUCGUAGUUGAAUUUCGGGAUCAAUAUGUUGGUCGUGCCUUGGUACGUACUAGUUUAUUGAUUUCUUCCUUCUGACGAACCAUGAUGUCAUUAAUUUGGUGUCAUGGGGAAUCAGGACUGUUACUUUGAAAAAAUUAGAGUGUUUAAAGCAGGCUCACGCUUGAAUACAUUAGCAUGGAAUAAUGAAAUAGGACGUUUGAUUCUAUUUUUGUUGGUUUCUAGGAUCGACGUAAUGAUUAAUAGGGAUAGUUGGGGGCAUUAGUAUUCAAUUGUCAGAGGUGAAAUUCUUGGAUUUAUUGAAGACUAACUACUGCGAAAGCAUUUGCCAAGGAUGUUUUCAUUAAUCAAGAACGAAAGUUAGGGGAUCGAAGACGAUCAGAUACCGUCGUAGUCUUAACCAUAAACUAUGCCGACUAGGGAUCGGAUGAUGUUAAUUUUUUAAUGACUCAUUCGGCGCCUUACG
RNAcentral lists this ribosomal RNA (499 nucleotides) under uncultured Glomeromycotina. Its description in RNAcentral is "partial small subunit ribosomal RNA". It matches the Rfam family "Eukaryotic small subunit ribosomal RNA", at positions 591 to 1092 of the family's 1831-position model. Lineage: Eukaryota; Fungi; Glomeromycota. The record is from RNAcentral.